RNAcentral lists this ribosomal RNA (497 nucleotides) under uncultured bacterium. RNAcentral's name for it is "partial 16S ribosomal RNA". It matches the Rfam family "Bacterial small subunit ribosomal RNA", at positions 28 to 507 of the family's 1533-position model. The record is from RNAcentral.
GAUGAACGCUGGCGGCGUGCCUAAUACAUGCAAGUCGAGCGAACAGACGAGGAGCUUGCUCCUCUGACGUUAGCGGCGGACGGGUGAGUAACACGUGGAUAACCUACCUAUAAGACUGGGAUAACUUCGGGAAACCGGAGCUAAUACCAGAUAAUAUAUUGAACCGCAUGGUUCAAUAGUGAAAGACGGUUUUGCUGUCACUUAUAGAUGGAUCCGCGCCGCAUUAGCUAGUUGGUAAGGUAACGGCUUACCAAGGCAACGAUGCGUAGCCGACCUGAGAGGUUGAUCGGCCACACUGGAACUGAGCCACGGUCCAGACUCCUACGGGAGGCAGAAGUAGGGAAUCUUCCGCAAUGGGCGAAAGCCUGACGGAGCAACGCCGCGUGAGUGAUGAAGGUCUUCGGAUCGUAAAACUCUGUUAUUAGGGAAGAACAAAUGUGUAAGUAACUAUGCACGUCUUGACGGUACCUAAUCAGAAAGCCACGGCUAACUACGUG